RNAcentral lists this ribosomal RNA (464 nucleotides) under Vreelandella stevensii. RNAcentral describes it as "partial 16S ribosomal RNA". It matches the Rfam family "Bacterial small subunit ribosomal RNA", at positions 338 to 795 of the family's 1533-position model. The record is from RNAcentral. Lineage: Bacteria; Pseudomonadati; Pseudomonadota; Gammaproteobacteria; Oceanospirillales; Halomonadaceae.
CCUACGGGCGGCAGCAGUGGGGAAUAUUGGACAAUGGGCGAAAGCCUGAUCCAGCCAUGCCGCGUGUGUGAAGAAGGCCUUCGGGUUGUAAAGCACUUUCAGUGGGGAAGAAAGCCUUGGGGCUAAUACCCUCGAGGAAGGACAUCACCCACAGAAGAAGCACCGGCUAACUCCGUGCCAGCAGCCGCGGUAAUACGGAGGGUGCGAGCGUUAAUCGGAAUUACUGGGCGUAAAGCGCGCGUAGGCGGUCUGAUAAGCCGGUUGUGAAAGCCCCGGGCUCAACCUGGGAACGGCAUCCGGAACUGUCAGGCUAGAGUGCAGGAGAGGAAGGUAGAAUUCCCGGUGUAGCGGUGAAAUGCGUAGAGAUCGGGAGGAAUACCAGUGGCGAAGGCGGCCUUCUGGACUGACACUGACGCUGAGGUGCGAAAGCGUGGGUAGCAAACGGGAUUAGAUACCCCUGAGUC